Molecule: ribosomal RNA, 253 nt
Filed under: uncultured bacterium
Lineage: Bacteria
Description: partial 16S ribosomal RNA
Rfam family: Bacterial small subunit ribosomal RNA
Source: RNAcentral
UACGAAGGGGGCGAGCGUUGUUCGGAUUUACUGGGCGUAAAGGGCGCGUAGGCGGCCGAUCAAGUCAGGCGUGAAAGCCCCGGGCUCAACCUGGGAAUGGCGCUUGGGACUGGUUGGCUUGAGUUCGGGAGAGGAGAGUGGAAUUCCUGGUGUAGCGGUGAAAUGCGCAGAUAUCAGGAAGAACACCCGUGGCUAAGGCGGCUCUCUAGUACGGUACUGACGCUGAGACGCGAAAGCGUGGGGAGCGAACAGG